AGUGGUGAUAGCAAAGAGCCUCCGAAAGACCAGAGCCCCUGUCCAGAUGCAGCGUCUCCAGCAAUCUAUGACGUACGUCUUCAUUUAUCAGUCAUUUAUAAUCAAGGAUCUAUAAAGAGAACAAGAACAGUAUAAACGCGAAAAUAUGGACACAAAUUGCCUUGCGAUUCCGUAAGACCCAGCUUUGAGCCAUUAUCUGGAGUACCAACUGGAGUAUUUAGAUGCACAGAUGGAGAGCGUCUUGGAAGUGGAGCUUGCAAGUGUUCAUACUAC
Long non-coding RNA from Pieris brassicae (large cabbage white), 273 nucleotides. RefSeq lists it as uncharacterized. The record is from RefSeq and is a predicted model, not a curated record. NCBI's taxonomy places the organism in Eukaryota, Metazoa, Arthropoda, Insecta, Lepidoptera, Pieridae. The transcript has 3 exons.